This 361-nucleotide ribosomal RNA is filed under the name uncultured bacterium. Its description in RNAcentral is "partial 16S ribosomal RNA". It matches the Rfam family "Bacterial small subunit ribosomal RNA", at positions 338 to 716 of the family's 1533-position model. The record is from RNAcentral.
CCUACGGGUGGCAGCAGUGGGGAAUAUUGCACAAUGGGGGAAACCCUGAUGCAGCGACGCCGCGUGAGUGAAGAAGGAUUUCGGUACGUAAAGCUCUAUCAGCAGGGAAGAAAAGGACGGUACCUGACUAAGAAGCCCCGGCGAACUACGUGCCAGCAGCCGCGGUAAGACGGAGGGGGCAAGCGUUAUCCGGAUUUACGGGGGGUAAAGGGAGCGGAGACGGCAGCGCAAGUCUGGAGUGAAAUCCCAUGGCUUAACCAUGGAACUGCUUUGGAAACUGUGCAGCUGGAGUGCAGGAGAGGUCAGCGGCAUUCCUCGUGUCGCGGUGACCUGCGUAGAUAUUAGGCGGCACACCCGUGGC